RNAcentral lists this small RNA (80 nucleotides) under Rippkaea orientalis PCC 8801. RNAcentral describes it as "Cyanothece sp. PCC 8801 Cyano-1 RNA". It matches the Rfam family "Cyano-1 RNA". The record is from Rfam by way of RNAcentral. Lineage: Bacteria; Bacillati; Cyanobacteriota; Cyanophyceae; Chroococcales; Aphanothecaceae.
GUGUGUGUGAGGAGUAAGAACGAAAGACAAAAACUCUUGGGGUCGAAACAUGGCCAGACUCCCAAGGGUCUUUUUCUGUU